Molecule: ribosomal RNA, 457 nt
Filed under: uncultured bacterium
Lineage: Bacteria
Description: bacterial SSU rRNA
Rfam family: Bacterial small subunit ribosomal RNA
Source: RNAcentral
UUUUCUCAAGGAGGAAGAUCUGACGUUACUUGAGGAAUAAGCAUCGGCUAACCCUGUGCCAGCAGCCGCGGUAAUACAGGGGAUGCAAGUGUUAUCCGGAAUUAUUGGGCGUAAAGCGUCUGCAGGUUGAUAUUUAAGUCUUUUGUUAAACCUCCGGGCUCAACCCGGAAUCUGCAAAGGAAACUAUAUAUCUUGAGUAUGGUAGGGGUAAAGGGAAUUUCCAGUGGAGCGGUGAAAUGCGUAGAUAUUGGAAAGAACACCAACAGCGAAGGCACUUUACUGGGCCAGUACUGACACUCAGAGACGAAAGCUAGGGGAGCAAACAGGAUUAGAUACCCUGGUAGUCCUAGCUGUAAACGAUGGAUACUAGAUGUUGUGUACCUUAGGGUAUGCAGUGUCGUAGCUAACGCGUUAAGUAUCCCGCCUGGGAAGUAUGCUCGCAAGAGUGAAACUCAAA